RNAcentral lists this unclassified non-coding RNA (480 nucleotides) under Hevea brasiliensis (rubber tree). The record is from RNAcentral. Lineage: Eukaryota; Viridiplantae; Streptophyta; Magnoliopsida; Malpighiales; Euphorbiaceae.
CAUCCAUGUUGAAGCAAAUCGAUUUCCAAGGAAAGUUGCUGAGUUGUGCAAAAUGGUGAAAAAAAAAAAGGCUCUGUUGGGUCAUGCAAAAUGGUGAAGGAAGACUGUUGGAUUCUGAUUUGCCUCAAUUUUCUUAGGUUCGAUUGUGAUUUGCCUUUGCUUUUCUGAGGUUUUUCUUAGUUUUUAUUCUGAUUUGCCUUAAUUUUAUUGGGUUUUCUUAUGUUGGAUUCUAAUUUUGUUGUGUUGUCAACGGAAAAAUGGUAUGGUAGAGAAUUUGGGUAUUUGUUUGCAGAGGGAAGAAGGGAUAGAGGUGGGGAGAGGGGUUCAGAUAUUCCUAUUGCAAAGUGAGAGAGAAAGCGAGAUAAGGUGACAAGGAGAGAGAAAAAAGAUGGAUUUAUUUAUUAACAAUAUUUAGUCAAUUUAAUAUUUUUUUAUUAUAUUCAUUAGAAAAAAGAUACAACGUCAAAAAUGAUAAAAAAG